Lagopus muta (rock ptarmigan) is the source of this 2705-nucleotide long non-coding RNA. RefSeq lists it as uncharacterized. The record is from RefSeq and is a predicted model, not a curated record. NCBI's taxonomy places the organism in Eukaryota, Metazoa, Chordata, Aves, Galliformes, Phasianidae. The transcript is spliced from 11 exons.
CGUGCCUGCACUAUGAAUGGGGCUUAAGAAAGGGUGUCCUUGGGCUCCCAUCCUCUCCUCCAUCCCCUGCCUCCUGACACGGGGCAGCAGCGUGCGAACAGAGCAGUGUGGGAGAUGAGAGGGGAGCGCACUCCAAGCUCACUGCCUUACUGUGCAGCCAGCUUGUCCCGCUGCUGCACGGGGAUGCUGAGGAUGCUGCUGGAGAAUGCACAGACAAGGAAGGACAGUGGGGAGGGGGAAGCUCGGGGGGCUUUCUGCAGCUUUGUUCUUCGGGCUGAACUGGGUGUGAGCUGUGUUUUGGCCACGCACCUGCUGCAGAUGUCGGAAUGGCUUUCUUUGCACAAACACCUGGAUGCGUAGGUCUGGCCAGGAAACCUUCAAGUAGGAGCACUUUCCCUUCUAAGCAGACCGAGGAGAAAAUGCAGUGGGAGAGAAGAUCCACUCUUCUGAGGACAGAGUACUUGGCCAACGUUGAAUGAAUCCUGGUGCACCAUAGGUCGGUAGUCAUUAUCAUCAUUGUUAUACUGGCCUCCAAAACCCAGAGUCCUGCUCUAGAUGGUUCUGCUAAUAAGAAGGACAAUGCAAGGAUGGAGAAAAUGGGGUGUUGGUGAGCGAGGUGCGUAGUACUCCUCCUGGGAUGUUCUCCUGUUGGUUGGGAACACAUCCAACUUGUCAGGAUGGAACCGGUGACCACCCGGGCUUCACUUCUCAUCUCUGCUGAUGCGCUCUAAAAUCGGGCUCCCCUCCAGCACGUUUGGAGCAGCAGUGCUGAGAACAUUGCUCUGAACCCUCCAUCCACCACUGAGAAAAACUCAUAGAGGAGGAAAAUCAGGUUCCAGAUUGCUCAGCAGAAAGGAAAAACCAGCUUGGAAGCCCCUCUGGAAGAGAGCCAGGCAGUAAUCUCACGGCGUGUGGGUGAGAAUGGCAGCAUCUCCUUUGGCCUCUGACGGAGCUGCUCACACUCAGCAUCCAACCUCCUCCGUUUAUAGCCCCGAUUUCCAACCAGCUAAAUGAAAAUACUUGUGGGCAGCAAAAAUAGCCGGUGCUGAAAACCUGUGUCUACCGAGGGUGGAAAUUGCUGGGAGUUCCUCUGUGUCCACAGCCCAUCAUUAGGAGCGGUGGCAUAAACCCGGCGGUUGCGCGGCGUGCCGCUGGCGGGCUCCCUGCAGAGACCCAGGGCUGAGUGCCCACCGCAGCCCAUGGGAUGCUCUGAGGAUGCUGCUGAGGAAUUGGCUUUUUGGGGGGAAGUAGGAAAAAGCAGCACGCGUUUUUCCCUUGCAUCAGCACGGUAUGCAGUAGGGAGGAGUUUGCCAUCGUUGAGAGGUAAGCUCGUUUCUGCUCCCUCUGUGGGACAGGGGAUGCGGUGCUGGGAUGAGAAUUGGGUUGCAUGGAGCUGCUGAGGUUGCUCCAUCUGUGGUGGUGUGUUCACAGUGCAGAAUUUAUUGCUGUAAGUAUGCAAAUGUGCCAUGCAAACAUAUGCAAAUCCUGAUCUUUUAUCAGUUGGCAAGGUACGGUUAAACAUCACAACUGGGAGGCCCAGCAGCCAGCAGAGGAGCGCUGCAGGGCAGUGCCAGGGCUCAGCUGCCAGCAGCACAGGCUGGGAAUGCUGUAGGUUGCUGUUGUGUUAUAGCAGCAGCAAGGAAGUGUUUUGCUUCAUCAUUUAGCAAAUGCAGUCAUGCAAUGAGGCAAUGCCACCAUUGGUGCUUUGGUUGACUCCCCUUGCAGCUCCAGGUGCGAGUGGGGGUGCACUGACCAUCAGCUCAUAUUGCUCCUGUACUGACUCAUUUAUCUUUUGGUGCUCAUUCUCCAACACCACAUGGAAAUGCUUGAGCAGCCACUCUAACCUUUGGGCUGCAGUAAUGAGCCUCACAUGGCAUCUGAUUGGCAACAUGUGGUCUGGGUCAUUGCUUUGCUUCAGCUGCUUGUUAGGCCCUGAUCUCCAUUUGAUUUCAAGGUGAAACUAAUGGGAUUUUGUUGAGGCUCCUCUCGUUCAGCGUGGAUCUCACAGCUAAGCAUCCUGGUGGAGGCAGGGAGGGGUCAGAGCUGACCUGACUCCUUCCCCAGCUCUGCAGGGAAUGGAGGCAAUGUUCUGCUAUGUGUGGACUCUGCUGGUGCAUCUCUGGACUCAGUUGGAAGCAGGUGUUCCUGUUAGAGAACGUGGAGGGGACAAAUGCAACAAUCUCUUGUGAGCAAACAGGAACCUGUGAUGGUCAACCCUUCAUUGGAAGGGGAUCCCUCAGUGCUGGAUCUGGAAUACAAACGUUUGCCAAGAGGUAAACACAUCUGGCAAAACCUUCACUCGCUAAGAAGUCAUCUGACUUGGAAGGAUAUUUCGGAGAGAAUAUGAGAACGUAUCGGAUCGACUCUGCAAAGGAAUGGCCUUCUUCACUCAUGUUUUCCAUAAGAUCCUGGCCAACUUGGCCAAUAACUAAGGCAAGGAACAGGGGAAAAAAAAGUGGUGUUGCCAGUUGCAUCUGAACUGCUAAGGACAGAAAGACAGCUGCUUGAAAGCAAUAACGAGGGCCUACCUCGAAUGACUUUGGAGAAGAAUCUCCAUAACUGAGAGAGGAACCCAGACCACUGAAAUGUGAAAGAAGCCCCAUCCUGUUCCCCAGGCAGAAAGCAUUCGGAUUUGUCUCAAGCACAGCUUCAGCCACACACCUGCAGGAUGGAAACAGGCAGAGCAAACAAUGAAACAAGGCUGU